RNAcentral lists this ribosomal RNA (440 nucleotides) under uncultured bacterium. Its description in RNAcentral is "bacterial SSU rRNA". It matches the Rfam family "Bacterial small subunit ribosomal RNA", at positions 338 to 795 of the family's 1533-position model. The record is from RNAcentral.
CCUACGGGUCGCACCAGUGGGGAAUAUUGGACAAUGGGCGAAAGCCUGAUCCAGCAAUGCCGCGUGUGCGAAGAAGGUCUUCGGAUUGUAAAGCACUUUCGACGGGGACGAUGAUGACGGUACCCGUAGAAGAAGCCCCGGCUAACUUCGUGCCAGCAGCCGCGGUAAUACGAAGGGGGCUAGCGUUGCUCGGAAUGACUGGGCGUAAAGGGCGCGUAGGCGGUUUAUGCAGUCAGAUGUGAAAUCCCCGGGCUUAACCUGGGAACUGCAUUUGAGACGCAUAGACUAGAGGUCGAGAGAGGGUCGUGGAAUUCCCAGUGUAGAGGUGAAAUUCGUAGAUAUUGGGAAGAACACCGGUUGCGAAGGCGGCAACCUGGCUCGAUACUGACGCUCAGGUGCGAAAGCGUGGGGAGCAAACAGGAUUAGAUACCCUGGUAGUC